Long non-coding RNA from Gasterosteus aculeatus aculeatus (three-spined stickleback), 710 nucleotides. The record is from Ensembl. Lineage: Eukaryota; Metazoa; Chordata; Actinopteri; Perciformes; Gasterosteidae.
CCCCAUUCUUCUUCCUGCCUCAUUGUGAUCACCACACGCAGAGCGGUCGCCGUGUCUCUCGCUGUUUGCCGUCUUACUCAUUCCUGCCAAGGGAUCAAAAGACACCUAACCUCCGGACAAAAUACCUUACCUACCAGAUUGGAUGCCAUGUGAUGGGUGGUUCAAGAAGCCACCGCGGUGACACAUACUGGAAUUUGUGUUGUCUGCUUUCGGAAUGUGGACAUACGGAGAAAAGCAUUCCUGGUGGUAGAGUUUAAAUUCCUCCACAACACUUGCGUACAACCAAACCAGGCUGAUGGUGGCAUCUGUUCUUGAGGUCAAACUGUUGAACAAAGGAGGCAAACCCCUGUGUUCCCCAGGCACCACGGGACUGACCGCUGCCCCCACCCAGACGAACCGGAUAAUCCCAUAAGAGCUCGCUGGAUGACUGAGCCAAUGAACACAAGUCCCAAGGCGAAGCAACCAUCCCCGAUUGCCCUCCAGGGGUGGAGACGGCUGCCGGAGAACGUAGGGACCGAAGUGGCACUUUGGUUGUAAGCAAGCAAACACAGUUGAACCCUCACCCCCCCUGUGUCCCGCUGUGUCUCCCUCCGGGUGUUCUCAUCACAAGCUACACAGCAUCUCUGAGUGAAACACCCUCAGCAACACAGGCCAUAGAAAGGCAAAGGUGACGGGAGCAAGUUUUUCACCAUUUCAAACGUACAGAGCCA